AACGAACGCUGGCGGCAUGCCUAACACAUGCAAGUCGAACGAGACCUUCGGGUCUUGUGGCGCACGGGUGCGUAACGCGUGGGAACCUGCCCUUAGGUUCGGAAUAACUCCCCGAAAGGGGUGCCAAUACCGGAUAAUGUCUUCGGACCAAGGAUUUAUCGCGUUUGGAUGGGCCCGCGUUGGAUUAGCUAGUUGGUAGGGUAAAAGCCUACCAAGGCGACGAUCCAUAGCUGGUCUGAGAGGAUGAGCAGCCACACUGGGAGUGAGACACGGCCCAGACUCCUACGGGAGGCAGCAGUGUGGAAUAGUGGACAGUGGGCGAAAGCCUGAACGAGCAAUGCCGGGUGAGUGAUGAAGGCCUUAGAGUUGUAGAGCUCUUUUACCCGAGAUGAUAAUGACAGUACCGGGAGAAUAAGCCCCGGCUAACUCCGUG
Molecule: ribosomal RNA, 433 nt
Filed under: uncultured bacterium
Lineage: Bacteria
Description: partial 16S ribosomal RNA
Rfam family: Bacterial small subunit ribosomal RNA
Source: RNAcentral